AGGCCUCAGAGACAACCAGAGACAAACAGAUAAUUCUGACCUUGGAUUUUAAUCACCACUGUUUUCCUUCUCCUGAUCUCCUUGUUGUAGACUUCACAGCUGUAUCUUCCUAUGUCUCUGUCUGUGGGGUGUUUCAGGGUCAGACUGAGGUCUCCAGUUCUCAGCAGGUCUUUCUUCAUCUCUGUUCGGUCUCUGUAAACCUGGUCCUGCUCUUCAGGUUGAUCAGAGCCGUUCUGAUAAAAAUGGACCUUCCUGUUGUCUCUGUCCAUCCACUCCACUCUGACGUCUUGAGGCAGGUCACCUGUGGUUUUGAAGGGCAGCUGGACAGACUCCACCCCUGAAUCCACCUCCACGUGACAGUCUGAGAGGACAACAAAG
Lates calcarifer (barramundi perch) is the source of this 378-nucleotide long non-coding RNA. RefSeq lists it as uncharacterized. The transcript has 3 exons. Lineage: Eukaryota; Metazoa; Chordata; Actinopteri; Centropomidae. The record is from RefSeq and is a predicted model, not a curated record.